AGUGAGCGCUGGCGGUAGGCCUAACACAUGCAAGUCGAACGGCAGCACAGUAAGAGCUUGCUCUUACGGGUGGCGAGUGGCGGACGGGUGAGGAAUACAUCGGAAUCUACUUUUUCGUGGGGGAUAACGUAGGGAAACUUACGCUAAUACCGCAUACGACCUACGGGUGAAAGCAGGGGAUCUUCGGACCUUGCGCGAUUGAAUGAGCCGAUGUCGGAUUAGCUAGUUGGCGGGGUAAAGGCCCACCAAGGCGACGAUCCGUAGCUGGUCUGAGAGGAUGAUCAGCCACACUGGAACUGAGACACGGUCCAGACCCCUACGGGAGGCAGCAGUGGGGAAUAUUGGACAAUGGGCGCAAGCCUGAUCCAGCCAUACCGCGUGGGUGAAGAAGGCCUUCGGGUUGUAAAGCCCUUUUGUUGGGAAAGGAAAGCAGCAGGUUAAUACCCCGCUGUUCUGACGGUACCCAAAGAAUAAGCACCGGCUAACUUCGUG
This 492-nucleotide ribosomal RNA is filed under the name uncultured bacterium. RNAcentral's name for it is "partial 16S ribosomal RNA". It matches the Rfam family "Bacterial small subunit ribosomal RNA", at positions 29 to 507 of the family's 1533-position model. The record is from RNAcentral.